RNAcentral lists this ribosomal RNA (527 nucleotides) under Fidelibacterota bacterium. Its description in RNAcentral is "bacterial SSU rRNA". It matches the Rfam family "Bacterial small subunit ribosomal RNA", at positions 1 to 536 of the family's 1533-position model. Lineage: Bacteria; Pseudomonadati; Fidelibacterota. The record is from RNAcentral.
ACAACGGAGAGUUUGAUCCUGGCUCAGGACUAACGCUGGCGGCGUGCCUAACACAUGCAAGUCAAGGAGAACGUUUCCUUCGGGGAACUAUUAAACUGGCGGACGGGUGAGUAAUGCAUAGGUAACCUGCCCUGGAGACUGGGAUAACUUCGCGAAAGCGAUGCUAAUACCGGAUAAUGCAGCGGACCCUAAGGGGUACAGUUGUUAAAGCGGGCUUCGGCUCGUACUUCAGGAUGGGCCUAUGUCCGAUUAGCUUGUUGGUGAGGUAAAAGCUCACCAAGGCAACGAUCAAUAGCUGUUCUUAGAGGAAGACCAGCCACAUUGGGACUGAGACACGGCCCAAACUCCUACGGGAGGCAGCAGUGGGGAAUCUUGCACAAUGGGGGAAACCCUGAUGCAGCGAUGCCGCGUGAGUGAAGAAGGCCCUUGGGUUGUAAAGCUCUUUCGUCGGGGAAGAAAAUGACUGUACCCGAAUAAGAAGGUCCGGCUAACUUCGUGCCAGCAGCCGCGGUAAUACGAAGGGACCU